RNAcentral lists this ribosomal RNA (497 nucleotides) under uncultured bacterium. RNAcentral describes it as "partial 16S ribosomal RNA". It matches the Rfam family "Bacterial small subunit ribosomal RNA", at positions 28 to 507 of the family's 1533-position model. The record is from RNAcentral.
GAUGAACGCUGGCGGCGUGCCUAAUACAUGCAAGUCGAGCGAACAGAUGAGGAGCUUGCUCCUCUGACGUUAGCGGCGGACGGGUGAGUAACACGUGGAUAACCUACCUAUAAGACUGGGAUAACUUCGGGAAACCGGAGCUAAUACCGGAUAAUAUAUUGAACCGCAUGGUUCAAUAGUGAAAGACGGUUUUGCUGUCACUUAUAGAUGGAUCCGCGCCGCAUUAGCUAGUUGGUAAGGUAACGGCUUACCAAGGCAACGAUGCGUAGCCGACCUGAGAGGGUGAUCGGCCACACUGGAACUGAGACACGGUCCAGACUCCUACGGGAGGCAGCAGUAGGGAAUCUUCCGCAAUGGGCGAAAGCCUGACGGAGCAACGCCGCGUGAGUGAUGAAGGUCUUCGGAUCGUAAAACUCUGUUAUUGGGGAAGAACAAAUGUGUAAGUAACUAUGCACGUCUUGUCGGUACCUAAUCAGAAAGCCACGGCUAACUACGUG